AGAGCUUGGGACAAAAAGAAAAUGCAAGCUGCUCGUUCAAAAAUGAUAUUUACAAUACACUCAACAGGAAUCUGGGUUCAUUGUAAGAAGGGGCACAAAAUUUGUGGGCUUCCUACGAACAAAUAUCCAACACGU
Small nucleolar RNA from Budorcas taxicolor (takin), 135 nucleotides. RefSeq annotates it as small nucleolar RNA SNORA11. NCBI's taxonomy places the organism in Eukaryota, Metazoa, Chordata, Mammalia, Artiodactyla, Bovidae. The transcript has a single exon. The record is from RefSeq and is a predicted model, not a curated record.